Molecule: ribosomal RNA, 777 nt
Filed under: uncultured Neocallimastigales
Lineage: Eukaryota; Fungi; Neocallimastigomycota; Neocallimastigomycetes; Neocallimastigales
Description: partial large subunit ribosomal RNA
Rfam family: Eukaryotic large subunit ribosomal RNA
Source: RNAcentral
UACUAGAGUAGCACUCGCAUAUCAAUAAGCGGAGGAAAAGAAACUAACAAGGAUUCCCCUAGUAACGGCGAGUGAAGCGGGAAGAGCUCAAAUUUGAAAUCUUAAAGGGUUUCCCUUUACGAAUUGUAGUUUAAAGAAGUGUUUUCCUGUUGAGGUUUUGGUAAAAGUUCUUUGGAAUAGGACAUCAUAGAGGGUGAGAAUCCCGUAUUUGACCUUUACUUUCAACUUUGUGAUACACUUUCAAAGAGUCGGAUUGUUUGGGAAUGCAGUCCAAAAUGGGUGGUAAAUUUCAUCUAAAGCUAAAUAUUGGCGAGAGACCGAUAGCGAACAAGUACCGUGAGGGAAAGAUGAAAAAGAACUUUGAAAAGAGAGUUAAACAGUACGUGAAAUUGUCAAAAGGGAAGCGUUUGACACCAGUGUUGUUUUUCUGAAAAUCAAUUAAAGAACUGUUUAUGCUAAGCUGUUUAGACUUUAUCAGCUAUCUGUUUAGUUUUGAGCUUUUCUUUAAUGCACUUUUCAGUUAACAAGAUCAACAUCAAUUUCUUUUGCUGUAAAAAAGCUUGAGGAAGGUGGCUUGAGAUUCGUCUUAAGUGUUUAUAGCCUCUUGCCUAUGCAGUCGGAGAGAUUGAGGUCUGCAGCGUAGAUCCUUCGGGGCUAAAUGCAUUUGUGCUAAGUUAUAGCAUUUUAUAGACAACUUGUUGACUAUGAUUUGUCUUGUAGCUUACUCGCUUAUGUUAUUUUACCUACGCUUAGGAUGUUGAGUAGCGACAUACGCAC